RNAcentral lists this long non-coding RNA (369 nucleotides) under Chrysolophus pictus (golden pheasant). Its description in RNAcentral is "lncRNA (ENSCPIG00010008217.1)". The record is from RNAcentral. Lineage: Eukaryota; Metazoa; Chordata; Aves; Galliformes; Phasianidae.
CAGAAUUUUCAACUGGAGGAAAUCAAUGAAGUUUGAUUAAUUUUAAAAGAGCUGAGAAUAUUUCCAUCAGAGUAAACAAUCAGAUCUUGGUAGAGAAGACGACAGAGCUGGCCCAUACAUGCAUACUCAAAAAAGGACUUGGUCUAAGGAGUGAAGUGCAAUACGUGAAAAAAAAACAGAACGCUCUACCCAGACCCUUUUCUGUGCAGGCUGAGAAACUGAGCUACAGAAGGAUUCAAAGGCAUAGUUUCUCAUGGAUCAUCCUUCACUGCUAUUCACACCGUUCGCUCUGCUGAAUGAAAAGUUUUUUGCAUUUCUGGUGUCUGUGUGGAGGGGUCUGCAAGCAAACAGCAUGUCCUGCCAGACAGC